RNAcentral lists this transfer RNA (73 nucleotides) under Anaerolinea sp. RNAcentral describes it as "tRNA-Asp". It matches the Rfam family "tRNA". Rfam says of the family: Transfer RNA (tRNA) molecules are approximately 80 nucleotides in length. Their secondary structure includes four short double-helical elements and three loops (D, anti-codon, and T loops). RNAcentral also lists the same sequence under 2 other names. The record is from RNAcentral. Lineage: Bacteria; Bacillati; Chloroflexota; Anaerolineae; Anaerolineales; Anaerolineaceae.
GGGGGCGUGGUGUAGUGGUUAACACACUGGCCUGUCAAGCCAGAGAUCGCGGGUUCGACCCCCGUCGCUCCCG